This is a long non-coding RNA of Magallana angulata, 659 nucleotides long. RefSeq lists it as uncharacterized. The record is from RefSeq and is a predicted model, not a curated record. NCBI's taxonomy places the organism in Eukaryota, Metazoa, Mollusca, Bivalvia, Ostreida, Ostreidae. The transcript is spliced from 7 exons.
AAGAAAUCCGUGAUGGCCAUGAUGGCGGGGAAGCUGAACAAUGUUGUCAUCGAAUAUAGAACUAUUAUAUUGAAUCGAAAAAUGAUCUAAGCUGUGGCCUUAAAGGAGUAGUCUCCUUUGAUAAAGAUCAACAGUGACAAAUAAACAAUGCUGUCUUGUCAUCAACGGUGAAAUUUGAGACUUUUAUACCCAUAUAUCUACCAAUCACCUCUGUCCACUUUGUUUUGUACAUCUGAGACAGGUGUACACGAGAUGCCAGUAUUCACUCCUUUCCACGGACACCUGUUAGGAGGAUUUUCAUUUGUUUGCUGCCUUUGUCUUGGGAGGUGGAGGCACCAGGGCAAUGAGGUCAUUUUGUCCCUUUAUUAUGCUGACAGAGAGUCCCUAACCAUCUGAUCCAUCAUGAUAGGCAUUUUUCUUUAUGAUGCAGUACUUGCUGAGAGAGAGAGAGAGAGUCUCAUACUCGGAUGAGCACAGCGUAGAUAUAAAUCAAAAUCCCGGACUUGUGUUUCAUACACAAUGAUGUAUAAGUGGCUCAUCUUACAUCAAAUGGAAUGGAUCCAUGCCAGGAUUCACUUUUCCUUCCCAUGCUGGUUCCAGUCCAGUAAACUGUCACAGUCUGGGAAAUUCUGUCACUGGUGAUGCCGCAGAAAGAAAAC